Gloeophyllum trabeum ATCC 11539 is the source of this 96-nucleotide non-coding RNA. NCBI's taxonomy places the organism in Eukaryota, Fungi, Basidiomycota, Agaricomycetes, Gloeophyllales, Gloeophyllaceae. The record is from the annotation of a RefSeq genome assembly.
GCAUUAGUGGUGUAGCGGUAACAUUGGGUCUUCCCAUUACGUAAUGCAUAUACGUAAUCAUUGGCCUAGCUCCGGGUUCGACUCCCGGCUGAUGCA